RNAcentral lists this ribosomal RNA (250 nucleotides) under uncultured bacterium. RNAcentral's name for it is "partial 16S ribosomal RNA". It matches the Rfam family "Bacterial small subunit ribosomal RNA", at positions 524 to 773 of the family's 1533-position model. RNAcentral also lists the same sequence under 1 other name. The record is from RNAcentral.
UACGGAGGGUGCAAGCGUUAAUCGGAAUCACUGGGCGUAAAGCGUGCGUAGGCGGCCUGUCAAGUCAGGUGUGAAAGCCCUCGGCUUAACCGAGGAAUUGCACUUGAAACUGAUGGGCUGGAGUUCUGGAGAGGGUGGCGGAAUUCCCGGUGUAGGAGUGAAAUCCGUAGAUAUCGGGAGGAACACCAGUGGCGAAGGCGGCCACCUGGACAGUAACUGACGCUGAGGUACGAAAGCGUGGGGAGCAAAC